CCUGCGUACGAUUAGCUUGUUGGUGGGGUAAAGGCCUACCAAGGCGACGAUCGUUAGCUGGUCUGAGGGGAUGAUCAGCCACAUUGGGACUGAGACACGGCCCAAACUCCUACGGGAGGCAGCAGUGGGGAAUAUUGGACAAUGGGCGCAAGCCUGAUCCAGCAAUGCCGCGUGUGUGAAGAAGGUCUUCGGAUUGUAAAGCACUUUCGACGGGGACGAUGAUGACGGUACCCGUAGAAGAAGCCCCGGCUAACUUCGUGCCAGCAGCCGCGGUAAUACGAAGGGGGCUAGCGUUGCUCGGAAUGACUGGGCGUAAAGGGCGCGUAGGCGGAUGGCACAGUCAGAUGUGAAACCCCCGGGCUUAACCUGGGGGCUGCAUUUGAUACGUGUUGUCUAGAGUGAGGAAGAGGGUCGUGGAAUUCCCAGUGUAGAGGUGAAGUUCGUAGAUAUUGGGAAGAACACCGGUGGCGAAGGCGGCGACCUGGUCCUUGACUGACGCUGAGGCGCGAAAGCGUGGGGAGCAAACAGGAUUAGAUACCCUGGUAGUCCACGCUGUAAACGAUGUGUGCUGGAUGUUGGGCGACCUAGUCGCUCAGUGUCGUAGCUAACGCGAUAAGCACACCGCCUGGGGAGUACGGCCGCAAGG
Molecule: ribosomal RNA, 646 nt
Filed under: uncultured bacterium
Lineage: Bacteria
Description: bacterial SSU rRNA
Rfam family: Bacterial small subunit ribosomal RNA
Source: RNAcentral